CCUACGGGUGGCUGCAGUGGGGAAUAUUGGACAAUGGGCGAAAGCCUGAUCCAGCCAUGCCGCGUGUGUGAAGAAGGCCUUCGGGUUGUAAAGCACUUUCAGUGGGGAAGAAAGCCUUGGGGCUAAUACCCUCGAGGAAGGACAUCACCCACAGAAGAAGCACCGGCUAACUCCGUGCCAGCAGCCGCGGUAAUACGGAGGGUGCGAGCGUUAAUCGGAAUUACUGGGCGUAAAGCGCGCGUAGGCGGUCUGAUAAGCCGGUUGUGAAAGCCCCGGGCUCAACCUGGGAACGGCAUCCGGAACUGUCAGGCUAGAGUGCAGGAGAGGAAGGUAGAAUUCCCGGUGUAGCGGUGAAAUGCGUAGAGAUCGGGAGGAAUACCAGUGGCGAAGGCGGCCUUCUGGACUGACACUGACGCUGAGGUGCGAAAGCGUGGGUAGCAAACAGGAUUAGAUACCCCAGUUC
RNAcentral lists this ribosomal RNA (463 nucleotides) under Vreelandella stevensii. Its description in RNAcentral is "partial 16S ribosomal RNA". It matches the Rfam family "Bacterial small subunit ribosomal RNA", at positions 338 to 796 of the family's 1533-position model. The record is from RNAcentral. Lineage: Bacteria; Pseudomonadati; Pseudomonadota; Gammaproteobacteria; Oceanospirillales; Halomonadaceae.